This is a long non-coding RNA of Anolis sagrei ordinatus, 2568 nucleotides long. RefSeq lists it as uncharacterized. The record is from RefSeq and is a predicted model, not a curated record. Lineage: Eukaryota; Metazoa; Chordata; Lepidosauria; Squamata; Anolidae.
UUCAGGUCAGUCAAGGAAGCUAAAUUUGCACAGGUCCAAACAGGUAAUGCUAACUUCUUUUUUUAACUUUACAGUCAAAAGAGAAAACAGAAAGGCAGCAACAGAAGAAGAGCAAGGGCCCAAGAAAGCUGCUUAAAACAGUGGAGAGCAUCAAGGUAGGAUAAAUGGGUUCUUUACUUGGUCCCUCCAUCCUUUUUCAUGGAAAGAAUAGACUCCUCUACCAACCCACCCACAUUACAUCCGAAUUGGCACCUGACUUAGAAGUUGGCUAACUGAAUCACCAAAUGGCCAGAACACUAUCGUGUCUAGAAGGACAGAUUCCUGAUAAGUCACUGUAGUGUUCAGUUUUCAAAGGGAUGUUUUCAUUUUGGAGCAGAAGUUUGUAGAAGCAGCUGAGACAAUAUUGCUUUUUUAAAGAGCAGAAUAAUUCUAGGUCAAAUACAGCCAUGCCAUCCGCGAGGGAAAAAUGCUUCAGAAGCUGCUUUGUUUCCUAUCCCUGUGAGAAAGGUUUUUGAAAAUAUUAAUAUAAAAUAUAUACGUCCAAUGGAGGCCAGGGACCCUGGAAGUGCAGCAGCCUGAGGCCUGGCGGGGAAGGCCUGCCUCCCUGGCCUGUUGCUGCCUAUGUGGCUCCAGAGGCUCUGCUGGGGUCUGUGGAGUCCAAGGAGGCAGGCAGGCCCCCUCGGGAUGGGCCGAGAGGCGGGUAAGGAAGCACAGGUAAGAAAAUAAUAUAUAAAAUAUAUAAAAUAAUGCAUAAAUAUUAAAAUUAAUAUAGUGUCCCUACUUCGCAGAUUUUCACUUAUCUUGGGUGCUCCUGGAACGAAACCCCUGCAAUAAGUGAGGGAACACUGUAUACUAUACUAUACAAUUUAAAUUCUAAUAACUGUUUCUGACUUUGCAUCUAUAUAUAUAAACUAGCACUUUUGAAUUGCAUAUAAAUGUGUGUCUUUUACUCUUUCUUUUUGCAUAUUCCUACUGCCAUUUUUGGCAAUGUGCAAGCAUCCUCCCUAUAGAAGCAGCACAAAAAGUAACCCCUCCACAUAUCUGAUUUCUAAAGCAGGAAUUGUAUACCAUCCCAAACCGAUUGUAUACUCAAGCCUGGAUUGACAAAAUCUUCUCCAAAUAUUUUUCCCAGAUUAAAUUGAGUUUAUGAUCCUGUCUACUAUUCCCUAAAGGGACAUCACCUAGAAUCCAAUGGAGAAAAUACUUUGUUAUGGUCAGCAUAAUAUUGAUGAUACAUCACAACUCAUAUUUCUGUAUGAUCUUGUCUAGUUUUUCAUGUCUUGUUUUUUUCUUUUGUUAGUAAAGGUAAAGGUUUCCCAUUGACAUUAAGUCUAGUUGUGUCCAAUUCUCGGGGAUGGUGUUUUCUCCAUUUCUAAGCCUAAGUCCAUAGACAACUCCAAGGUAAUGUGGUUGCCAUGACUGCAUGGAGCACCAUUACCUUCCCACCAAAGAGGUACCUACUGAUCUAUUCACAAUGUUUUUGAACUACUAGGUUGGCGGAAGCUGGGGCUAACAGUGGGAGCUCACCUCUCUCCCUGGAUUCAAACCACUGACCUUUCGGUCAGCAAGUUCAGUUCAAGCCGCUGACCUUUCAGUCAGCAAUUUCAGCUCCCAAGUUAAAAAUAUAACUUGUAUAUGUAAAUCAAAAAUAAACAUCUUGAAUUUGUUUCUCAAAAACCAGUGUAAUUCCUUGCAGCCACUGUAUUUUUGGAAAAGGCAGAAGGUGUGUGAGUUGUGUGUAUGUGUGUGCGCGCUAUGCUCCAGCAUAAUAACAGAUCAACUUAUAGAUUCCCAGAAAUGGGGAAAAUAAUGCCCUUGCUUAUCACAUCUAUAAAAUUGCAAGUUUUUAUGCUUCCCUGUUUCAACCCUUUAAAUCAUUUAUCUUUCCAUUUGAGUGUCCAAAAUAUGUCUGAAAACUCAAUUUCCAAAAAAUAUGAUAUGUUAAUUGAACAAUGAAGGCAGGUCUAUGAUAAAGUCACAGAUCUUAAGGGGUAGGUGAUGCCAGAUGACUUUUCCAGUCCUGCUGUUUCAGUUUUCAUCGGACUUACAUUUUCAUUUGGAUCAUUCGUAAUGUAUCCUCUUUUAUUAACCAACAUGGUAAACAUGGUCUGACUUAUUUCCACAAUAAUAGAAAUCUCUUGUAUAAUAGAAAUAUAAAUUGUAGUUUGAUAUUUUCCAAAGCAAAACAAAAUCUUCCCUGAUUUCCCGCAUUUUGCCUGGAAGCAAAACUGUUCUGAGGCAGAUCCAUAUUUAAGAUGGGAUUUGAGAUUGGGAAAGAGUUUGAUCACUCUAAGGCCAGACACAUCUUCAUGAAUUAUAUCAUGAAAAUGCUUCAAAUGCUAGUACAGUCAACCCUCUACAUUUGUUGGGGUUCUGGGCAAAUUAUUAGUCCAAGACUGAAAAAACUAUAUAUGCUAAAGGAAUUAUAAUGACAUUUGCUUUCAUUAUACUGAAGCAGGUUCUGCCCAGUCUCUCUUACCAAUUUGACUGCCAUGAACUCACUGUGUAAGAAAGCUUUUCCUACAGCUUUGAAAUUUGAAAUUCAGUCUUUCUUAUAUUUUUCUUAUA